Molecule: ribosomal RNA, 553 nt
Filed under: uncultured bacterium
Lineage: Bacteria
Description: bacterial SSU rRNA
Rfam family: Bacterial small subunit ribosomal RNA
Source: RNAcentral
UAGGGAAUCUUCCACANCNNUNUNCGCAAGCCUGAUGGAGCAACACCGCGUGAGUGAAGAAGGGUUUCGGCUCGUAAAGCUCUGUUGUUAAAGAAGAACACGUAUGAGAGUAACUGUUCAUACGUUGACGGUAUUUAACCAGAAAGUCACGGCUAACUACGCGCCAGCAGCCGCGGUAAUACGUAGGUGGCAAGCGUUAUCCGGAUUUAUUGGGCGUAAAGAGAGUGCAGGCGGUUUUCUAAGUCUGAUGUGAAAGCCUUCGGCUUAACCGGAGAAGUGCAUCGGAAACUGGAUAACUUGAGUGCAGAAGAGGGUAGUGGAACUCCAUGUGUAGCGGUGGAAUGCGUAGAUAUAUGGAAGAACACCAGUGGCGAAGGCGGCUACCUGGUCUGCAACUGACGCUGAGACUCGAAAGCAUGGGUAGCGAACAGGAUUAGAUACCCUGGUAGUCCAUGCCGUAAACGAUGAGUGCUAGGUGUUGGAGGGUUUCCGCCCUUCAGUGCCGGAGCUAACGCAUUAAGCACUCCGCCUGGGGAGUACGACCGCAAGGUUG